CGGACGGGUGAGUAACACGUGGAUAACCUACCUAUAAGACUGGGAUAACUUCGGGAAACCGGAGCUAAUACCGGAUAAUAUAUUGAACCGCAUGGUUCAAUAGUGAAAGACGGUUUUGCUGUCACUUAUAGAUGGAUCCGCGCCGCAUUAGCUAGUUGGUAAGGUAACGGCUUACCAAGGCAACUAUGCGUAGCCGACCUGAGAGGGUGAUCGGCCACACUGGAACUGAGACACGGUCCAGACUCCUACGGGAGGCAGCAGAU
Molecule: ribosomal RNA, 263 nt
Filed under: uncultured Staphylococcus sp.
Lineage: Bacteria; Bacillati; Bacillota; Bacilli; Caryophanales; Staphylococcaceae
Description: partial 16S ribosomal RNA
Rfam family: Bacterial small subunit ribosomal RNA
Source: RNAcentral